Molecule: long non-coding RNA, 2820 nt
Organism: Nilaparvata lugens (brown planthopper)
Lineage: Eukaryota; Metazoa; Arthropoda; Insecta; Hemiptera; Delphacidae
Exons: 6
Source: RefSeq, a predicted model, not a curated record
UGGCUACCUAACCUAUUCUGCGAUAUGGCUUGAUGGAUGUUGUUUUGUUUUGUUGAUGACUUGAUGGCUUCUGUUUUAUCUUGUCGAGUGGUGGUUGAUUCAUUGUGUUUGAGAUUUGUGAAUCAAGAAAGUCGUCAAAAUGUCGUAUUCACGAUUCAUCUGGAAAGUUGCAUUUCCCGGAGCACAAGGCUGACCUUCUGCACAACUUAUUUCUUAUUUCUCCGCCGCUUGGAAUCUGACCCGAGUCUGUUGGGUGUCUCACCGCAGACCUGUGACAAAGGUUAGGUUUUGGCUUGCCUGAAUACUCACAUGCUCAGUUGCAUCGGUACAAUUGAUCCACCCAACAGGCUCGGCUUGAAUGGUUGAACAAUUUUGGGGGUCACUUUGGGGGAACUGUCCCCUCCGGACCCCCCUUAGCCCAGGAACACACGAGAUGGCGUACUGCCCGACGGCUGUUCCCCGGUUAUGGAGACAAAAAUUCCCUCCCAGCAGCAACGGUCAUCGACCGACCCAAACGGAUCGCUGCCUGUCUGGAGAGACGUCUGUCCGGAGACAGCAGAUCGCUGCAUAUCUUCUCCAUGGAUAAGAUAACCAGAACCAGAAUCUGGUUCGGUUGCUGCUAACUGCAUGGAUGUGGGACUGACUUACCAGCAACAAUUUUGGGGGUCUGGGGGGAACUUUCCUCCCUGGACACCCCUUAUGGACACAUUACCUCCCCGCACCAUCGGUCAUCGACCCAUCAACCGAACACAAAUGUGCCAUACGUAUAUGUACACGGUUAGAUGCUUCGGGGACUUUGCCUUGUAACCUUGGAUCUAUCUUGCUUGGGGUACUCUUCCAUGCUUCAACGGCCGGGGGUGCUCUGGACCCCCAAGGAGCGUCUCUUGUCAUCCUUGACGUGUUGAGAAAUGAGUGCGUAGCGUGUGACACAUUACUCAGCUCCUUCACCAUCACUGGCUUGGAUUUGGAUGUGACAGUUGCAGCAGCAUCAUUUGUGACAGUAGCAGUCGCAGCAUCAUCAGCCACAGUAAUAGCAACAGUAGUCACAGUAGCAGCAACAGCAGUCACAGUAGCAGCUUGCAGUAAGCUUGUCAAAAAAUUGGCAGUUUUCAAUUGUCAAAUUAUUUAGUGUAUUUAGUCAAACACUUGACCUGCAGCACUGUACCUGAAAUCUUCUCUGUUUUAUAAAUUUGUAAUGUUCAGUGCAUGAUCAUUAUGUUAUAAACUAGACUUUCCACAUGAUUGGAGAUAUCUUCGUUGCAAAAAUUUUACGAUGAAAAUUUUAGCAUUAUUCAACUGAGAUAGCAUUACUCAAGAAAUUGAGACUUUUAGCCAUUUGCGACUCUAAUUACAAUUCAAUUCGUGACUCCUACUCUGGUGAUUUCAUACUUCUAUUUAUUCUUCAUAAUAUUUAUUCUUUAUUGCUGUCUUACAUUCAUUUAUGAGUUGAAAAUAGACAUUAACCAAUACAAAACAAGAUGAAAAUAGAUGAGACAAUUUCAAUAGGUUAUACGAUGUAGUUGAGUUAUGGUCCUAUGUUCAUUCCCUUGAAGAAUGAAGGAUUAUCACCAAAGUAGUAGAGGUUUCUCCUACUACUUGAAAGAACAUGUUCAAGAGAAAAUGUUGGAAAGAGAUUUGGGUGAUUUCAAGCCUUGGAUGUUGUAAUCUUGAUUAUAAAUUCUUGACUCGUAUAGAACGUGUAGGAUUUAGACCAAAACUAAGAAAGCUUUAGACCUUAGAGGAUGCUACGAGAUUUUUAUUUUUAAAAAUGUUAAAAUGCUUGAAACAUUUGUGUUCUUUGAAAUUUUCCUCGACUUCCUUGGAAAGUUGAGAUUAAAUUUGAAUAUCCGCGUAUUACUAACUUGAUGUUUUAAUAUGCAUAGAGAUUGUACAUGUUUCAAAUUGGGUUGAUUAUGACAGGAACAUGAUAAUUGAUGUGCAGUAUAGGUAAGCUUCCCGAUAUGAUAGGUAGAAUUCAUGACAUAAUACCCAGUUAAAGUAGUUAAAAUACCGGAAAAAAGUUGAUACUAAAGCUGUUGUUUUAGAAGACAUGAUAAAAAUCUUAAAGUAGUAAACUAAAAUUAACUGAAUCUAAAAUCUACGUUCCUUGUGCUCGCCUAUCAUUUAGUGACAUCUAUCGAUGAACUUUAUAACUUUUACUAGAAGUUAUUGGUGGGAGAAGUUUGCACUCCCGGGAAAAACGUUCCAUAUCCGGUGCAAUGUCUGACAACAUGAAUAUUCUAGUGUGUCCAGAUUUGUUAAAGACGUGAAUAUUGGUAAAAAACGGAAAAUCAAUGUUGAAUAUUGGAAGAAAGAAGUUAAAAUGAUUUGGAGGAAUAGUGGGAAAGAGUAUUCCAACUACCAAAACCAAAUAAUACCUGAGAAAAGACCUUCUACUGAGGUAAGUGGAAAAACGUUUCUUGCCCUUUUAGGUCGUCGUCCACCUCAACUCUCAUCAUUAUAUUAUGUGAUUGAUCCCCUUCAGCUCCCAAAGCUUUAUCAGGGUCCAUUACCGAUAACAAAAGGCAAAAAUGUGAUUUGCUGGAUAUGUUGCCUGAAGAACACAGGCAGUUUUAUCUAGAGCUCCUAAGUGAGUAAACAACAUGUGAAAGAAAUAUUGUCUUGUUCAUUGUUACACUGUUGGAAUCCCAAAAUAAACAAUAUUAUUAGUCGAAGACAAAGACUGUAAUAAUUAAGAAGACAAUGGGCCAUAUGAAUAAAGUUGAGCAUUUGCUUAUACUUCUAAAAUAUGGAGCAUUUGCUUAAUUUUCUAUAAAUAAACGUGAGCAUACCCUUUUGCUCAUGCUCAUCAGAAUAUAG